This 497-nucleotide ribosomal RNA is filed under the name uncultured bacterium. RNAcentral's name for it is "partial 16S ribosomal RNA". It matches the Rfam family "Bacterial small subunit ribosomal RNA", at positions 28 to 507 of the family's 1533-position model. The record is from RNAcentral.
GAUGAACGCUGGCGGCGUGCCUAAUACAUGCAAGUCGAGCGAACGGACGAGAAGCUUGCUUCUCUGAUGUUAGCGGCGGACGGGUGAGUAACACGUGGAUAACCUACCUAUAAGACUGGGAUAACUUCGGGAAACCGGAGCUAAUACCGGAUGAUAUUUUGAACCGCAUGGUUCAAAAGUGAAAGACGGUCUUGCUGUCACUUAUAGAUGGAUCCGCGCUGCAUUAGCUAGUUGGUAAGGUAACGGCUUACCAAGGCAACGAUGCAUAGCCGACCUGAGAGGGUGAUCGGCGACACUGGAACUGAGACACGGUCCAUACUCCUGCGGGAGGCAGCAGUAGGGAAUCUUCCGCAGUAGGCGAAAGCCUUGCGGAGCAACGCCGCGUGAGUGAUGAAGGUCUUCGGAUCGUAAAACUCUGUUAUUAGGGAAGAACAUAUGUGUAAGUAACUGUGCACAUCUUGACGGUACCUAAUCAGAAAGCCACGGCUAACUACGUG